This 1100-nucleotide non-coding RNA is filed under the name Tolypocladium ophioglossoides CBS 100239. RNAcentral describes it as "Eukaryotic small subunit ribosomal RNA". It matches the Rfam family "Eukaryotic small subunit ribosomal RNA", at positions 4 to 1116 of the family's 1831-position model. The record is from Rfam by way of RNAcentral. Lineage: Eukaryota; Fungi; Ascomycota; Sordariomycetes; Hypocreales; Ophiocordycipitaceae.
CUGGUUGAUUCUGCCAGUAGUCAUAUGCUUGUCUCAAAGAUUAAGCCAUGCAUGUCUAAGUAUAAGCAAUUAUACAGCGAAACUGCGAAUGGCUCAUUAUAUAAGUUAUCGUUUAUUUGAUAGUACCUUACUACUUGGAUAACCGUGGUAAUUCUAGAGCUAAUACAUGCUAAAAAUCCCGACUUCGGAAGGGAUGUAUUUAUUAGAUUAAAAACCAAUGCCCUCUGGGCUCUCUGGUGAUUCAUAAUAACUUCUCGAAUCGCAUGGCCUUGCGCCGGCGAUGGUUCAUUCAAAUUUCUUCCCUAUCAACUUUCGAUGUUUGGGUAGUGGCCAAACAUGGUUGCAACGGGUAACGGAGGGUUAGGGCUCGACCCCGGAGAAGGAGCCUGAGAAACGGCUACUACAUCCAAGGAAGGCAGCAGGCGCGCAAAUUACCCAAUCCCGACACGGGGAGGUAGUGACAAUAAAUACUGAUACAGGGCUCUUUUGGGUCUUGUAAUUGGAAUGAGUACAAUUUAAAUCCCUUAACGAGGAACAAUUGGAGGGCAAGUCUGGUGCCAGCAGCCGCGGUAAUUCCAGCUCCAAUAGCGUAUAUUAAAGUUGUUGUGGUUAAAAAGCUCGUAGUUGAACCUUGGGCCUGGCUGGCCGGUCCGCCUCACCGCGUGUACUGGUCCGGCCGGGCCUUUCCCUCUGUGGAACCCCAUGCCCUUCACUGGGUGUGGCGGGGAAACAGGACUUUUACUUUGAAAAAAUUAGAGUGCUCCAGGCAGGCCUAUGCUCGAAUACAUUAGCAUGGAAUAAUGAAAUAGGACGUGCGGUUCUAUUUUGUUGGUUUCUAGGACCGCCGUAAUGAUUAAUAGGGACAGUCGGGGGCAUCAGUAUUCAAUUGUCAGAGGUGAAAUUCUUGGAUUUAUUGAAGACUAACUACUGCGAAAGCAUUUGCCAAGGAUGUUUUCAUUAAUCAGGAACGAAAGUUAGGGGAUCGAAGACGAUCAGAUACCGUCGUAGUCUUAACCAUAAACUAUGCCGACUAGGGAUCGGACGAUGUUAUUUUUUGACUCGUUCGGCACCUUACGAGAAAUCAAAGUGCUUGGGCUCCA